Molecule: transfer RNA, 82 nt
Filed under: Echinostoma caproni
Lineage: Eukaryota; Metazoa; Platyhelminthes; Trematoda; Plagiorchiida; Echinostomatidae
Rfam family: tRNA
About the family: Transfer RNA (tRNA) molecules are approximately 80 nucleotides in length. Their secondary structure includes four short double-helical elements and three loops (D, anti-codon, and T loops).
Source: Rfam by way of RNAcentral
GGCCUCGUAGAUCAGCCGGUAGAGCAUGCGCGUACAACGCGUAGGCGGUGUCCAUGCGUGGGUUCAAACCCCACCGACGCUA